This 380-nucleotide RNase P RNA is filed under the name Anaerocolumna xylanovorans DSM 12503. RNAcentral describes it as "Bacterial RNase P class A". It matches the Rfam family "Bacterial RNase P class A". Rfam says of the family: Ribonuclease P (RNase P) is a ubiquitous endoribonuclease, found in archaea, bacteria and eukarya as well as chloroplasts and mitochondria. Its best characterised activity is the generation of mature 5'-ends of tRNAs by cleaving the 5'-leader elements of precursor-tRNAs. The record is from Rfam by way of RNAcentral. Lineage: Bacteria; Bacillati; Bacillota; Clostridia; Lachnospirales; Lachnospiraceae.
UGAGCAGCACAGAUGGUCGCGCCUAUAAGCUGCCGAAAGGCCAUAGGUGAGGAAAGUCCGAGCUUCAUAGGGCAGGGUGCCGGAUAACGUCCGGUGGAGGCGACUCUAAGGAUAGUGCAAUAGAAAUAUACCGCCGGGAAUUCCCGGUAAGGGUGGAAUGGUGGGGUAAGAGCCCACCGCCUGGAUGGUAACACCCAGGGCAUAUGUAAACCCCACUCGAAGCAAGACCGAAUAUUAAAGCGAUACGGCUGCCCGUCGUGCUUUAGGGUAGGUCGCGGUUUGCGGGAUACGUUAGUUUCUCGGAACGAGCCUCAUGGUAACAUGGGGCACAGAUAGAUGACCAUUUGAUACAGAACUCGGCUUAUAGUGCUGCUCAUUUA